This 43060-nucleotide long non-coding RNA is filed under the name Triticum aestivum (bread wheat). Its description in RNAcentral is "long non-coding RNA (TAES_LNC019472)". The stretch from base 42630 to 42754 matches the Rfam family "MIR1120/MIR1122 microRNA precursor family". Lineage: Eukaryota; Viridiplantae; Streptophyta; Magnoliopsida; Poales; Poaceae. The record is from RNAcentral.
ACAUACUAUUAACAGAGUUUGUUCCUGAAAGAAAAAAAAACCAAUAUAAUAUUACAGAUUUACAAGGUGUCUGACACACAAAAACAGAAAAAAGUUUCCGUCGCCGGGACUUGAACCCGGGUCUCUCGGGUGAGAGCCGAGUAUCCUAACCACCUAGACUACGACGGAAUUGCUGUACAGUGUAUAGCAUUCCGUAGAAAGUUAAGACACAACAGGAGGAGUAGCACCGAAAGAGUUUUUUUUUAGUUGAGCACCGGAAGAGUAAGGAGAUGAGAGAGGGUGCAGCGCUGGCGGCAUCUCCAACCCUGGUUGGGUGCGGUGCGAGGAGGCCCAACACAUUUGCUGUGGGAGAAACACCCGUAAGACGACCACACGCUCCCUUCCGUCUUCCUUCUCUCCGCCGGAAUUUCCUAUUGGACAUACGUUGCGUCAUACUGUCGAGGUUUCGCACAACGGGAGACCGAGGCGAUCGUUCGACUGGGCCUGCCCGUUUAAGCUUUCAUCGUCCCGGGUUUUGGGAACCUUCUAAAGAUUUCCAGCCGGUUUUUUCUAGUUUUGGGAAACUUCUAGAAGGUUCCUAAACCGGUUUUUCCUUGUUCUGUUUUUUUCUUCUUUUUUUCCUUUUUUUUUCUUUUUUCCUUGUUCUGUUUCCUUUUCUUUGUUUUUUCUUUUUUUUGUUUCUCCAUUUUUUUUCUUUUGUCCUGCUUUUUUCAUAAAAAUAUUUAAAAUUUGUUCACAUUUCCAAAACUUAUUCGGUAGUUUAAUUAUUCUAAAAAUUUAAAAAUGUUCGCAUUUUUGGAAAAAAUGUUCAAAUUAUUCGAAAUUUGUUCCCUUUCCAACAAAUGCUAGGAUAUUUUCAAAUAAAAGACUGCAUUGUCUGUAAAAAAUGUUCGUGUUUUACAAAAUUUGUUCAAAGAUUUCAAAAAAGUUUCUGGAUUCAAAUUUUUGUUCACGUAUUCAAAAAAUGUUUGUGCUUCCCUAUUUUUUCAGAAUUUUUGAAAUUGUUUUCCAUUUCAAAAUUUGUUCUCAAAUUUUAAAAAAAUGUUCUUGCUUUAGAAAAUUGUUCACAAUUCUGAAAAGGUCUAGUCUUUCAAAAAAUGUUUGUGCUUCCAUAUUUGUUCAGGAUUUCGAAAUUAUUCUCUGUUUCAAAAUUUGUUCUCAAAUUUUAAAAAAUGUUCUUGCUUUACAAAAUUGUUCACAAAUUCAGAAAAUGUUCAUGUUUUCAAAAAAAGUUUGUGCUUCCAUAUUUGUUCAAGAUUUUCGAAAUUGUUCUCCGUUUCAAAAAUAUUCUCAAAUUUUAAAAAAUGUUAUUGCUUUAGAAAAUUGUUCAAAAAUUCUGAAAAUGUUCAUGUUUUCAAAAAAUGUUUUUGCUUCCAUAUUUGUUCAGGAUUUUCGAAAUUGUUCUCCAUUUCAAAAUUUGUUCUCAAAUUUUAAAAAAUGUUCUUGCUUUAGAAAAUUGUUCACAAAUUCUGAAAAUGUUCGUGAUAUCAUAAAAUUGUUUGCUCUUUUCAAAACAAAAUCGCACGUUCAAAAUUUAAUUAAAAUUUAAAAAAUUGUAAAGCAAUUUUUUCAAACAGUGUUAAGUCUUGUACUUUCUUUAGUUCUUAUAGUUUCCGUUGUAUAUUGGUCAACUGAGCCCUUCCGUCGUAGUGGCUAGUAGCGUGCGUGCACAAGUCAGCAGUCCUUUGUUCGAUUCCCAUCCAGCGCGCCCUGUAUGUUUUUUGCAAUUUUUCACCUGCUAUUUUCGGCGCACUGCAGUGGGCCGGCCCAAUCGGCACUGCGACGACGUGCCUGUGCGAAAGGGCAGCAUUUUGACGCAGAACAUGUCAUAUAGGAACUCCCCUCUCCGCCUCCCCCUCCGCUUGAGAGUCGCUCAGGACAACCCGUUUGAUCCCAUGCUUGGUCCGCGUUCGGAAUCUCCUUGUAUAUAGUCGUGCAGUCGUUGGCCAGGUGUCGCUGUUUGGUGUUAUGUUCUUGGGAUGCCAACCACGAGAGUGGUGGUGGUGGUCGCGUCUUCUACUCCGACUCCAUGGUGAAGAGAAGUGGAAGGUGCUGAAUCCGACAGAAUUCCCCGCAAUAAACAUGUUGUAUCAUCUUAAAAAAAAUCCAACAAGUACUGGCAUUUCAUUUAUAAUAGUAUACGCAGAGUAUUUACAGUGCCAAAAGGCAAGGACUAAAGCAAGAAAAAUGAAAUAAACUGAAAGAGAAGCUCAGGGAGAUCAACUACACUCCCGAAAGGAAGCCCCCCCUCCCCCCGCGCUUUAUAUAUAAAGCAUCAUCAACACAACAUCGAGCAAGAAGAUAUAAACGCACGCCGCCGCCACACUCAACACACACACCCAAGGUGAGAUACAAAGCUGCCGAGCACCGAAAACACCACCCCAACGACGACUAAGCACCCUAAUGAUAAGUCGAAGACCACCAUGAAGAUGAGCAAUCCACCGAGGGGUAAUGAGACGGACAAAGCCGGAGCGAGGACUCCAAGACGAUGCCCUCAAGAGGGAAACGACUGUAGGAAGCCGUCACCGUCUGAUCCCGAAGAUCAGGUUUUCACCCGGAGUGACACGAAGGCAAUGGGAGCACCACGACGGAGCCUACAAGAAGGAGAACGACAUCCACGGACGCCGCCUCCGUCGGCCAGUACAGGGACUGGGCGAGUGACGAACCCCGGUGCUCCUACCCUCCGUCGCAACCUCACUCCGCCAACCACCCGCAUCCAUGCCGCCCAAGCGACCAUGGCUGCCCGCCCGCAGCCGUGCCGCGCGGUCAGCCCACGACCAACACGCCUCCCACCGCCAGAGCCGCCGCCCUGCAUCCAGACCGCCCCGAGAACCACCAAAGGUCGAGGCUUUGAGCAAUCUGCGUCCGAGACCGCCAGCAAACCCGCCGAACAAUGCUGGAACCGAUAAUAAACAGAGAUGGGGAAGGGGGAAGGGUCGCCCGCGGCCAUGACCGGCGACAACACAGUGCCGGCGUCGGGCAGCUCGGCAGCGGAUCUCCCGUCCCUCCAACUGGCUCCCCCCCCCCGAAACCACCGUUUCGCCCCACCCUGCCAUAGGCCCGGCCCCGAGCACGGCCACGACAGAAGCCCGUCACCGGAGAGGAGGGAGCAGAGCCUGCCGCCGCGUCCAAGGAUGGCCACCAGGGGAGUCUCCCGCGCCGUGCGUCGGCGACCAACCGCAAGGGCCCGGCCUGGCCGCGGCGCGCGCAUCCACCCGNNNNNNNNNNNNNNNNNNNNNNNNNNNNNNNNNNNNNNNNNNNNNNNNNNNNNNNNNNNNNNNNNNNNNNNNNNNNNNNNNNNNNNNNNNNNNNNNNNNNNNNNNNNNNNNNNNNNNNNNNNNNNNNNNNNNNNNNNNNNNNNNNNNNNNNNNNNNNNNNNNNNNNNNNNNNNNNNNNNNNNNNNNNNNNNNNNNNNNNNNNNNNNNNNNNNNNNNNNNNNNNNNNNNNNNNNNNNNNNNNNNNNNNNNNNNNNNNNNNNNNNNNNNNNNNNNNNNNNNNNNNNNNNNNNNNNNNNNNNNNNNNAGGAAGGCCGACCGAACGACAGACCCUUUUAUUUCCCUGACCAUGAUGCCACAGAGGAAGCAGUGCGGCUUCAGUGCGGAGCCCAUGGCGUGCAACCGUGUAGAGCAUGUGGGGCCAAGCGGACUCGUCCCCGGCGUCGACGAACUUAGUUAUGCAUGGAAGUUAUUUCGGACCUGAUUACAUUUCCCUUUUGCCUCUUAAGGUUCUUGCAUAAACUAGGAUCAAGUAUUGCAAAUCUCAUUUUAGUCACAUUGACAUGGAAGGAAUCCGUAAAGAAAGAUCUGAAGGAUUGGAGUAUAUCAAAGAACUGGUCAUGGACAGGGGUGCGUGAAAGCUUGCUAUCCAUGUGCCAGAACUAUAAGUUGACCGCGAGAUUUUAUGGGUUUCACCUCUAGCCUACCCCAAUUUAUUUGGGACUGAAGGCUUUGUUGUCGUUGUUGUUGUUAGCUUAUUGUUUUUAAAUGUUCAAAUAAAUACAGAAAUAUUACCCCAUCCACAUCAUCUAUCUACCAUUAUCAAUCUCUUCACCAAACUAGUGCACUUAUACAAUUGAAAAUUGUAUUAGGUUUGCUGGGAACACAAGAGACUUCUUAUAUCAGGGUUGCUUGAGAGGAAAAUACAACCAUCCUACACCUCCCACAGAUUGGUAAAUCUUAAGUUAUCCACUCGAGGAAAAAUUAUUGUUGUUCUAGAAAACUCUGUGUUUGGAGGUCCAACAAAGUCUACAAAUAUAGAAGUUACAUGGUAGACAUGGGCGAGCAAGGGAUGGGGAGGUCGAAGAGUGCGAGGGGCAGAGACGGGAGGUACAGGAUGAGGCGAGCUAUUGUAUUUGCAACACGGUGGUGGCACCGGCAGAUGAGAGCGCCCAGGAAAGUGGUCAUGCCAUGAAGUGCUCAUGCUGAUGCCCAGGGAUGUAGAAAGUUGUCGAGAAGCUACACUCCCAGACGAUGGCUCAGCUCCAUUUUUCGUACAGAGAAGUUGGCUGAGGAGUUGAGGGUUGUGGAGAGUUAAUGAACAGACCCAUCUUUAGCCACGUACCCCUAAUUUGACCCCUCAAAUGCCCGCGGACGCGCCCGGUCAGUGACCGGGCGUGUCCAUUUAGAGUCCCUAUUUAUCCGUCCGGAAAGCCACACUUCUCAUUUUCUUCUUCAUAUUUCCAGUCACGUGCAUGUGAUUGGCGAAGAUGAAGAGAGAGAAAGAAAAAAAUAAAUAAAGAAAGAGAAAAGGUGGUCCGGGAUGGGGCCGCAUCCAACGUGGCGGACUACCAGGCGCGCCCGAGCGCGUCGGCGAGCCCUCAUAUCCUCCCCAUAUUUGAGAUGGAUAUAAGGGUUCGCGGACAGCCCGAAUGUAUAGGAUGAUAUGAGGGGUCCGGCUAAAUGACGUUUUUCCUUCUCAUUCAUGUCUAGUCACUGACCGGGCACGUCCACGGGCAUAUGAGAGAUCGUUUGAGCCGUCCGGCCGUAGAUGCUCUAAGACCAAUAUGAGCACUCAGGUCUUGCUUAAGCCACGAGUAUGAAUGAAAAAGGUAAGGACUUCUUUGGUUCUAAGGAAAAGUGGAGGGAAAAUGUAGGAGUAAUUCUUGUGUAUGGUGAUACUAUUUGUGCCUUUGGUUCAAAAGAAUGGGGCAAAUGAAGAACGAGACUAAGAUCCUUAAUUGCAUAAUAACAUACUGUACUAAAUUUCUAUCUUUGUUAAAAUGUCUAUGUUUUUUUUCGUUCGAGUGAACCAAACAUCAAAGUUGAUAGAAGUCCUACGUGUACCAAUCAAUUUUUUACGCGUGCAUUUCUAUCAUAUUUAUAUGUUUUUUCUAUUUAUGCGUUUUUAGAAUUUCAUGAACCAAAGUAGCCCUAAAUGGGUAAGCACGGAGAGAUGAUACCCUAUGCCAUAGAACCCACAAUAAUGUCUAAUGGCUAAGAGCAUCUCCACUCGUUCGGCCCCCCAGCGCAUAGGCCGGCGCUAUUUCGGGCGCCCACCCGGCGCUUUUUAGGCCCUGGGGGCGAUCUAGCUCUCAGCCACGCCUCCAGUCGCGGCAAAUUCAAACUUGGUCAUUUCCGCUCCCAAAAAAAGCCACAAGUCUGGCGAUCAGCGGCCCAGUUCGGCGAUCACCUUGCUACAGUUCGGCGAUCAAAUAAAAAGUUCGGCGUACAAAAAAAAGAAAUGACGCGUGGGCAACGCAUCAAACGGCGGGGUCGGCCUCCGGCGUCGGCGGAGUCGGCGUGCGCGGGCUUGGUGGCGUCGGAGCUGCUUCUAUGCUGGGCGGCGUCGGCGCGUCUUCUGUGCUGCUGGGCGUCGUGGAGGCAUCAUCGCUCGGGCUUGGCGGCGUCGUCGGCGUGGGCGUGGGAGUUGGUGGCGUCGUCGACGCCAGCUGGUUAUGGAUGAGGCCGCGCUCCACCAGGUACCACGCCUUGAGCUGCUCGUCGUUGCUCUGGAGCAUGUCCGCCCCGCCCAUCAGGAAAGCCAGGUCAGUGUUCCUCUUCUUUGCGACAACGUUGGUCCGGAGUAGAUCGAGAUUGACGGCGUUGUUCGUCAUCAACACCGAUCACCGCGCGUCGGUCUUCUCUUCACGCAGGGCUGCCCGGGCCUGUGCAUCGGCGAGGCAAUGCUCAAUGGACUCUUGCACUCGCGCAGUAGUCGCGUCGGCGUGCUUCCCCUUCUUGGCCCCUUUGUUUCCUUCGGGGCGCCCGUCGCCCGCGCCCGGCGUCGGCGCGUCCGGCUGAUAACCCACAAGUAUAGGGGGUCGCAACAGUUUUCGGGGAUAGAGUAUUCAACCCAAAUUUAUUGAUUCGACACAAGGGGGGCCAAAGAAUAUUCUCAAGUAUUAGCAGUUGAGUUUUCAAUUCAACCACACCUGGAAAACUUAAUAUCUGCAGCAUAGUGUUUAGUAGCAAAGUAGUAUGGAGGUAACGGUAACAGUGGCAAAGGUAAUAGUAGCAGUUUUGUAGUAAUUGUAACAGUGGCAACAGAAAAGUAACUAAGCAAAGAUCAAUAUGUGAAAAGCUCGUAGGCAUUGGAUCAGUGAUGGAUAAUUAUGUUGGAUGCGAUUCCUCAUGCAACAGUUAUAACCUAGGGUGACACAGAACUAGCUCCAGUUCAUCAAUGUAAUGUAGGCAUGUAUUUCGAAUAUAGUCAUACGUGCUUAUGGAAAAGAACUUGCAUGACAUCUUUUGUCCUACCCUCCCGUGGCAGCGGGGUCCUAUUGGAAACUAAGGGAGAUUAAGGCCUCCUUUUAAUAGAGUACCGGACCAAAGCAUUAACACUUAGUGAAUACAUGAACUCCUCAAACUACGGUCAUCACCAGGAGUGGUCCCGAUUAUUGUCACUUCGGGGUUGCCGGAUCAUAACACAUAGUAGGUGACUAUUGACUGAUUACCGACAAGUAUAGGGGAUCGCAACAGUUUUCGAGGGUAGAGUAUUCAACCCAAAUUUAUUGAUUCGACACAAGGGGAGCCAAAGAAUAUUCUCAAGUAUUAGCAGUUGAGUUGUCAAUUCAACCACACCUAGAUAACUUAAUAUCUGCAGCAAAGUAUUUAGUAGCAAAGUAGUAUGGAAGUAACAGUAACGGUAGCAAAAGUAGUAUUUUUGGGUUUUGUAGUGAUUUUAACAGUAGCAACGGAAAAGUAAACAAGCGAAGAACAAUAUGUGAAAAGCUCGUAGGCAUUGGAUCGGUGAUGGAGAAUUAUGCCGGAUGCGAUUAUUCAUGCAACCAUUAUAACAUAGGGUGACACAGAACUAGCUCCAAUUCAUCAAUGUAAUGUAGGCAUGUAUUCCGAAUAUAGUCAUACGUGCUUAUGGAAAAGAACUUGCAUGACAUCUUUUUUCCUACCCUCCCGUGGUGUGGCACCCCGAUCCGCAUGGAGCAGGGGGCCUUCGCACGUCAGCCCAGGAUUACGCCUGACGCACGACAGGUCCAUGAUACAGCAUUCCAGGUACAAUAAUAUUCAUCAAAUACAUGUGUAUAUGAUUACAUCAUUGAUGAAUGCAAUUAUCUGGCAUAGCCCUAAGGCUAUAUGGAUGGCAGCGGAAGUCUAUUUAAAUGGCGGCGGAAGUCUUGGUUUGGCAGCGUCUCAUCUAGGCUGGGCUCCACAACUCACAGGACUGGCAAGAUUACGGCCUAGCACGAUGGAACAAACGAACGAGUAGGGCACGACCUACAAAACUGGCAUGACACGCCAGGUCAGUACAUUGAAUGUACUUGCAAGACAACCAAAUACAUAGCAUCCAAACAAACAGAUGACAAAGCAAGAACCAAGCAUAUGAAACAACCUACCUCAUAGCAGAAACUAAGCAUGGCAAUGGCAUAUCAAACUUACUUCUAACAUGGCUACCGCAAAGCAUAACAUAUCAAAACAUGGCAUACCAAAGCAUGGCAUAAAUUCAGUCAAAGCAUGGCAUGGCAUCAUGAAACAAUGCUGAAAAUAAACUACCAGUCAUAUCCGAUGCAAACAUAACAUGUUAACUUUAUGCAACCAUCUACUGUUCUACCAUAGUUCCUUAAAGGCAAAUAACACUUACUACUCAUGCAAUGCAAACAAAAUGUGCAUCGAGUCCCUCGGACUCUCUUACCAGUGGGUUGCCUCGCAAUCAAACGAUGAUCAUGCACGGAUCAUCAACGAAACCACACUUGGUUCAACACUCACCGAGACCUUGUCUCGUGAUCAUACCAACUCAUCAUCGUGAUUAUUCACGACUGUCUCACAGUCCAAGUCACCACAUUAUUUCACAUUAUUCAUCAACUUAGUUAUAUUAGGUUUAUCCUCCAUUUCUACCGAGACCUGAUAGUGUGACCUACUACGAACUUGUGCCCAUGACCGAGGACGCGGCUAUCGAUAGAUUUAACACACACACUCUGCAGAGGUAGCGCACUGUACCCACACAACGAAACCCAUGGCCUCGCACUCCCAUUCGGCUGGAACAACGGCGUUCCGACAAAACCGAUCUAUUGCCAUGACACUCUCCCGGCCACUCCGACCAACACCCCUUUUGGGUUUAGUCCUGGGUGGCCCAUGCCUACCAAAGGUCUUACGGCCACCGUCGUGGCAAAAACGGUCCCAAACAGGGACAAAGCGCGCAAAACAACUCGGGCUCACAAGGUUCAUGUCCGCCUACGUGAUCAGGGUAGCGCGUGCCCAUAACCUUCCAUACGUUGGAGGCACCAGUGAGAGGCAUGACAAUAGACCUAUUAGGGCCUUCCCAUUCCAAGGCAAAUGUGGCUGCACUGGAAAAAGCCCAAUUUGGUGGCACUAUGACAUCCCAGUGAUGACGGAGGAGGUUUGUUAUCCAGUCAUAUUAUUAACUUCUUCAUCAUCGAUCAUUAUGCGAGCACUAUUAACAAGAAUGCAACAACUAACAUGCAACAUACCGAUGCAGUAACAAAACAGCAAGCAUUUCAAAUAAACAAUGAUAGCAUGCGAAACAUAGCAAUACCAAGAACUAGCAAAACUUAUCAGUGCAACAGAAUUAUCAUAGCAUCGUUACUACUAACAUGAACUAAACUAGACAGAGGCAUGAUAUUAUCAGUAACAACAACAAACUAGCAUGUCAACUAUUUCAUGAGAGCACAAACAUGCAAGACAGAUAACAAAAGCAUAUAGCACGAAUGAAAUGACAACAGACGGAACAAACAAGAAACUACUGCAACUAAACACACACACGAGGUGCAAGCAAAGUCAACAUGCAAGUUCAGGGCUCAUUAUAAGAGGUUGGCUUGCCUCGGGUCGAGAAAUACUUCGGGAAAAAUGUGGAAUGAUCGCGGAAAGAUUUGCCAGAAAUAGUUCUCUCUAGGAGGGGGCUGUUCACGGGCAAGGGUAAAGUGGUCAUUUUCACUGUGUGAAAACAUAAUGAAAAUGAUACCAAUGGAAAGAGUUCGAUGAGACGAAGACGUGAGCGUUGGUUUCACAUCAAUCGGAGUUACGGUUGUCGAGAUACGCAGGGUUGAAGUUCAGGGACCUAUCGGUGAAAGUUUUCCAGCAAACAGGCCCCUGGAGGAAAAACUGAACGCGCCUUUCUCAGAAAUAUGCUUUCCAGAGAGGAAAGCGCAUUCUGGCCCGAAGAGGAAGCGAAUACGCUUUCGGUUAAGGGAAGCGCAUUUUCGGGAGUACGUGGUCACUUAUCCACGUCAGCGCCUGGGGUCAACCCCUAGUGCGACUGACGGGUGGGCCUUGCGGAGGUGGGACCCGCCUGGCUUGCGUCUUCAACCUCCCGCUCGCACGCCCGCCGGGAAGAGGGAGGUUCUCUCCUCGACGGCGAUAGCCGGCGCAUCCGGCCACCGCUCGCGACGGCCGACCUACCCACGGGUUCAGGAGCGAGAGGCGCAUCCCGUGGUGUUGUCAGCUGCCGUCGAGGGGCACUAGGGAAGGAGCAGCAAGGUGGGCGGCGGAGCAGGGCUUCGGCCUCCGGCGAACAGGGGGCUCCGGUGGGGAAUGGGGUGGGCAAGGCAACGGGGAGGCUCACCGGACCCUGGGGAAGGCAGUGGUGGAGGUGGAGCGGCGAGAGGGGAGCGGCAUCGCCGGAAUCGAGCGGAGCCCAAGGCGGCGGCCGUGGCAAUGGGGAGGGGUCAGAGAGCUCCUCGAGCUCGAGCUAGAGGUUCGGGGGGGCUUGUGGACUGCGAGGGGCUCGGGGGCGGGCUUAAAUAGACGUGGGGAAGGCUCGAGGGGGAGGGGAUGAGGUGACACGCGGCAGGCGACGUGUCCGUGCGCCGGCGAUGGCCAUGCGCGGCCAAGGCUCACGGGAAGCAACGGGAAGGCGACGAGGGGGAUGCGGACGACGCGCGGGAGGACAAGAGGGGGAAACGGACAGGAGCGAGGAAACGACGACGAGCUCACGGAUAGGGACGGUUCACCGACGGUGACGGCUCGUCGAGGAAGCAAACGAAGGGGAAACGGGCCAAGACGCACGGCGAGGAUGAGGCUGAGUUGGUUGACAAGGUUGGACGAGCCAAAGCCAGCCGGAGCUGCGCCACUGUGGCCAACAGCGGCGAGACCAACGAUUUGGCCUGCAUAGCCCCAUGGUCACCACCGACUUUGCGCUCUCUAGUCGUCAACUAAGGGCCAAACCUUGUCUACAGCGUAGUCCUUCCAAAGCUCAUUAAGACUUAGGUGAUGGCACAGGCAGAGGUGUAGAGAGCAGAGGGAACCAAGCUCGACAAGUUUGCUGUUGCAAACUUGGCCACAUCUUGGUGAUCAAACCAGAGAGGUUAAGGGCGAAGAUUGAUGUCCUGGAGGUUUAAGCUAGCAAGGACUACGGUCCUGGGAAGUUGGAGGGGAUUUGGACAAAGAUUUAGCAUAGUUGUAGUGCAACGGCCAAAUCUGGUCCAGAAACCAAAUGAUGAAGGAGCACUCACUAGGAGUGUUGGAUUGGGCUAAAACUUGGCAAAGCUUCCUAAUUUGGUCAUAUAAUGAUGCUGUAAAAAUAUCAUACCAAAUGGACUUGCCAAAUUGGUACUUUUUUCACAAGCAUCACAUCUGACCAGAAACUUUGGAAAAAUCCAGGGAAAUAUUGGCUACAUGAAAUGAGCCAAAAGUUGGUCUAGGUGGGUUAUUUGGAUAGGAGAAGAAUUGGGAAUAUUUUCAGCCAUAAUGGAGCAAGAUAAAAUGUACUUGCUUCACAAACUGAAAAUUUGGACAGAAACCAAGAAUUGCUCCUGUGCUCACAUAGUUCAAUGAAUUGAACUGAAUUUAGGUGGAGGCUAAUGAUUUGGAAUACUUGAGAAGAUGGAAAAGUUUCAUCCCAUUUGGAAACUCUAUGAAGGUACUUCCUUCACAAGCAUGCCAUCUGGUCAGAAACUUUGAAAAAUUGCACAGGGAGCUAGGAUGAAUGGAUUGAGCUCAUCUUUGGUAUCCAUGGGUGAUUUAUCAAGGUUAAUCACCUUGCCAAAUUGCAGCUCAAUUGGAAUUAGGAAUAAAGCACUUCCUUUGCAAAAAUUUCAAAGAGGGCAGAAACUUGCAUUGGAUCAUGUGCUCAAAUUAUGAUCUUUGGAACAUGGGUUUGGAUGGAACUAGUGAUUAUAUAGCAAGGACAAGCUCCACAAUUUAUGUGAGAAUUUUCCCUGCUAUAAAAAUAGUAGUUCCUUUAGAAAGUGGCAGAAAUGCAAUAUUGGUAUUAAAUAGGAAAAUGCAGUUUUCCAUAUUUAAUUAUGGCCAAUAUCUUUGCCAGAGCUUGGAUUAGGCAUAAAUAUCAACUCCACCAAUUCUCAUGAAUUUAGGAGAUGGCUAGCUAUGCCUUUGGAUUUUAUUCCUCAGAAAGGCAAGAAAAGGAAUAAAUCAUAAUUCAAAAAUAUUGCAUGGGACUUAGCAAUAUUUUUGCAUAUCCAAGGAUUAGUAGGAUAGGAGGGUCUCCAGGAAUAGAUGGGACGAUCAACAGAUUGAGGAAAAUGAUGGCUCCUUUGUAUUCACAAAGGGCACAUUCAAAUUCCAAAGAUUGGAACUAGGGUUUGAAAGGAUUUGAGAUGAUGCAAAAGAGGUCUUGCCCACUGACAAAGACAUGAGCAAGGUUUUGAAAGGUUGGAAAUGGCAAAAGUUUCUCAGAGUCAUCCAGCAAACUCAGGAGGAAAUUUUGAAAAUGAGUGCCAGGAAGGAAUAACAGCUCAAAAAUUGAUAACCCAAUUUUGGGGUUGUUACAAACCUUCCCCCCUUAAAAAGAAUCUCGUCCUCGAGAUUCCUAGGGUUACAGCACAAAUGAAAGGGUAACCACUCCGGGGAAAAACCUCGGGGUUAAUUUUAACCCUUUGGUUGGAUUCGAAAGAGUUGGGGGCACCGAUAAUUGGUACACCCGGAGAGAUAUGGGCAAACACGGUUAAAAAUCCACGGCUAGGGCACUCGAGAUCAGACUCUCGAAAAAUUGCUAGAUGCACCCUAGUGAAUAGUGGAUUCACCUGCUGACACGUGGGUCCAGGGCCCACUGGCAGCCUCCUUCUUCUACCUCCGGCUAGCUGCUUCUUCGGUGAUGCUGCUUCGUGUGCGGCUUAGCGCAGUGCGCAUCUAGCCCCUAGGGCGAUGAGGACCCUAGUGUCGUAGUGCGCGGCAUGCACGGCGCCGGUGCAGCGAGCACUCACGUUGCGGGCCAGCACCUUGUCGGCACUGCGCGGAUUCGCCUCCUGGAUGCCGGUGAUCGAGCGACGAGUGGUUCUCGUGGACCUCGCUCAUCGUACACCGGGGUUGGGCUAUGAAAGACGGCAGCGCGGCUCUCCUCCAACGCACAAACACAAUGCCGCUCUACUACCUCUUCGGUUUGGGCGAGAUCGAGCCGAGCUCCUUCGGCGAGGAGGUGUUCUUGGUGGCGCUGCGGUGAUUCCUAGCUGCGCUGCUGGGCACGCUGAUUGGCUCGUCGAUCAUCCUGCUGACGAUCAUCAGGUACGAGCGAGCUCGAGGCAACGCGCGGCCAGCUGCGGUGGCUUGAGGUGUGGAAGAAGAUGGUGCACGGGGUGGUCCUCCGCCACGCUUGAUUCUCCGACGCUUCGUGCCGGCGGAGUAAUCGCGUGCUGCGGGGGAGCGGUGGUGGCGACUCGGCUGCGCUACCCUAGGCAGUGAUGGUGCGGGUGGUGGGGUCCAGAUGCAGGUGAGGUGACUGCGCCAGCUCAGCAUCACACUGGGGUACAAGGAAGAUUUCGUGGAUUGCUCCACGAAAAAGUAGGUGUCGAGGUAGAAUCGGAGUUGAAAUCUGUAUUGUGGUAGAUGUACUGGAUUGAAUGAAAUAAAGUUGGCAGCGUUCCUCCGGAAAUGAAAUCGGGAAAAAGAAUUGGAGACAAGGAACUGCCAGACGGAAAUGCCUCUGCGAGGCUCUGGUUUUGGAAAAUCUGGCACACGGGGUAUGCACAGAUAGAGAUAGGGAUGCGUGACUUUGCUUUCCCCCGAGUACUGCCCGAAUGUACUCGUGGGUGAACCGGGUAUGCAUGCAGUAUGCAGUACACACAAACUAACAAACAAACCAAUGCAACAAACAUGCAAUGCAAACACAACAGACAAAUCAUUCUAAGGUGUUUUAAUGCUAGUGGGUAUAUGUAAUCCUGGCAUACAUAUACCUACACCAGCGCGCAUUUUAUUAAAGACUCGGGACGAGCCAAUGUUGUUUUUAGUGUAUGUGCUCUACUGAUUAAAGUCUUGUUAGCAACACAUUGCCAACCCUGUCAAACAUCUCUGCUUGACAGAGAGACAAACAAGCGCGAAAACAAAAGCACGAAAACACACACAGCAUACGGAUUACAGCAUACAACAAAGCACGAACGCUCUACGCGCUAAACGAAAUUACUUACUCCGGGAUACACAGUUCUAUCCUCAUAUCGAGGAUGAACCGACAGACCGACCUACUCGCAGAAACACCUAACUGCGUGACUGAGGUCAUGCAGAGGGCUGGCCUUGCUGGGGCUCUCCGGGAGGACGAAGACUGAGCCAAUCUCCAUCUUCAUCGUCUGACGGCACUAUGGGUUGGGGUUCGACUACUGGGGGUGUGGCUGAAAUCGAUCCAAGCAAAUGCUGCUCGUGGAUCCGUAAAAGAGCCUUGUCGAGGGUGACGAUGUUUGGUCUAGGCCACAACACAGGCUAAGAGGGUAGCAUUGGUUCGGAUGGCAUGGGGUGGAUGGCUUGAGAUGCGAAUUUACGAGCCUCACGAUAAGCUUCCUUGACAACUCGUACCGCAUCGUUGUCCAGGGUUCUAAACUCGGCAAGCAUCUUGGAAAUCAUCAUCCCCUGGGCAGUGAUAUACUGCACCAGGCGAGCGAUUGCGGGGUCAUCUCCUUGGAUAGUGGGAGAAGGCUGAAUUCCCGCUUCUGCCACAAUGGGGAAAAAGCAGAACUCCCGCCUUUGUGCCACUUGCGGAAACUUGGUUUGGAGGUAUAGGGUGGCCUCCACGGCAGCGGCCUGAAUGGCUAAAUCAGCGGUAGGCAUGGCUCUACCCUGAAAAACCAAAGGCUGGCCAUCUACUGCGGGACCUGGGCUGAUGUGCACUCUUGCAUCAUAGCGAUGAAGGUGAGGGACGGGUGUCGACUGGAACACCAGGUAAUCAGGGCUAGCCUUACAACCAAAGGCUUUGGUGAGCAUCUCGGUAAGAAGGGGUGGAAAGCCAGUGUGGUUGAUGGCAAAGGUGCGGCUGUGAAACUUGGGAGCUUUGAAGGUGCUAGCCAUGGCUGGGGUGUUACUAGCGAGGCUUCUCUACAAGGACAUGGCUGAUUGAGGGGUGAACGAUACGGCUAGCGGAAAGGGGGCUUUUAUAGGCAGCUAUGCCGGACAUGACCGCAUGGUGUGGCUCCCUUUCCUUAAUGGCGAAGGGCAUGCGGUGCGGCCGACCGGAAAAGAUAGGGUUGCUAUUCAAUCCACGGAUAACUAGGCGGGGACAGUGGGGUGAGGACGUGUCGGUCCCGACUGCGCCACCUGUUGACUAACAGUGGCCAUGCCGGAUGCCACGGAUGGGUCUAAUCUCUUAGGGCCAUUACGGUUUAAUGGUAGAGGUGAUCUAAUGCUAGGAUAACCUAUGCCAGCCUGGCUGCUCUGAUACCAUCUCCUGUGGCACCCCGAUCCGCAUGGAGCAGGGGGCCUUCGCACGUCAGCCCAGGAUUACGCCUGACGCACGAUAGGUCCAUGAUACAGCAUUCCAGGUACAAUAAUAUUCAUCAAGUACAUGUGUAUAUGAUUACAUCAUUGAUGAAUACAAUUAUCUGGCAUAGCCCUAAGGCUAUACGGAUGGCAGCGGAAGUCUAUUUAAAUGGCGGCGGAAUUCUUGGUUUGGCAGCGUCUCAUCUAGGCUGGGCUCCACAACUCACAGGACUGGCAAGAUUACGGCCUAGCACGACGAAACAAACGAACGAGUAGGGCACGACCUACAAAACUGGCAUGACACGCCAGGUCAGUACAUUGAAUGUACUUGCAAGACAACCAAAUACAUAGCAUCCAAACAAACAGAUGACAAAGCAAGAACCAAGCAUAUGAAACAACCUACCUCAUAGCAGAAACUAAGCAUGGCAAUGGCAUAUCAAACUUACUUCUAACAUGGCUACCGCAAAGCAUAACAUAUCAAAACAUGGCAUACCAAAGCAUGGCAUAAAUUCAGUCAAAGCAUGGCAUGGCAUCAUGAAACACUGCUGAAAAUAAACUACCAGUCAUAUCCGAUGCAAACAUAACAUGUUAACUUUAUGCAACCAUCUACUGUUCUACCAUAGUUCCUUAAAGGCAAAUAACACUUACUACUCGUGCAAUGCAAACAAAAUGUGCAUCGAGUCCCUCGGACUCUCUUACCAGUGGGUUGCCUCGCAAUCAAACGAUGAUCAUGCACGGAUCACCAACGGAACCACACUUGGUUCAACACUCACCGAGACCCAUGUCUCAUGAUCAUACCAACUCAUCAUCGUGAUUACUCACGACUGUCUCACAGUCCAAGUCACCACAUUAUUUCACAUUAUUCAUAUUCUUAGUUAUAUUAGGUUUAUCCUCCAUUUCUAUCGAGACCUGAUAGUGUGACCUACUACGAACUUGUGCCCAUGACCGAGGACGCGGCUAUCGAUAGAUUUAACACACACACUCUGCAGAGGUAGCGCAUUGUACCCACACCACGAAACCCAUGGCCUCGCACUCCCAUUCGGGUGGACCAACGGCAUUCCGACAAAAGCGAUCUAUUGCCAUGACACUCUCCCGGCCACUCCGACCAACACCCCUUUUGGGUUCAGUCCUGGGUGGGCCAUGCCUACCAAAGGUCUUACGGCCACCGUCGUGGCAAAAACGGCCCCAAACGGGGACAAAGCGCGCAAAACAACUCGGGCUCACAAGGUUCAUGUCCGCCUACCUGAUCAGGGUAGCGCGUGCCCAUAACCUUCCCUACGUUGGAGGCACCGGCGAGAGGCAUGACAAUAGACCUGUUAGGGCCUUCCCAUUCCAAGGCAAAUGUGGCUGCACUGGAAAAAGCCCGAUUUGGUGGCACUAUGACAUCCCAGUGAUGACGGAGGAGGUUUGUUAUCCAGUCAUAUUAUUAACUUCUCCAUCAUCGAUCAUUAUGCGAGCAUUAUUAACAUGAAUGCAACAACUAACAGGCAACAUACCGAUGCAGUAACAAAAUAGCAAGCAUUUCAAAUAAACAAUGAUAGCAUGCGAAACAUAGCAAUACUAAGAACUAGCAAAACUUAUCUGUGCAACAGAAUUAUCAUAGCAUUGUUACUACUAACAUGAACUAAACUAGACAGAGGCAUGAUAUUAUCAGUAACAACAACAAACUAGCAUGUCAACUAUUUCAUGAGAGCACAAACAUGCAAGACCGAUAACAAAAGCAUAUAGCACGAAUGAAAUGACAGUAGACAGAACAAACAAGAAACUACUGCAACUAAACACACACACGAGGUGCAUCAACAUGCAAGUUCGGGGCUCAUGAUAAGAGGUUGGCUUGCCCGGGGUCGAGAAAUACUUUGGGAAAAAGUGUGGAAUGAUCGCGGAAAGAUUUGCAGGAAACAAUUCUCUCUCGGAGGGGGCUGUUCACGGGCAAGGGUAAAGUGGUCAUUUUCACUGUGUGAAAACAUAAUGAAAGUGUUACCAACAGAAAUAGUUCGACGAGACGAAGACGUGAGCGUUGGUUUCACCUCAAUCGGAGUUACGGUUGUCGAGAUACGCAGGGUUGAAGUUCAGGGACCUAUUGGUGAAUGUUUUUCAGCAACCAGGCCCCUGGAGGAAAAACUGAACGCGCCUUUCUCAGAAAUACGCUUUCCAGAGAGGAAAGCGUAUUCUGGCCCGAAGAGGAAGCAAAUACGCUUUCGGUUAAGGAAAGCGCAUUUUUGGGAGUACGUGGUCACUUAUCCACGUCAGCGCCUGGGGUCAACCCCUAGUGCGACUGACGGGUGGGCCUUGCGGAGGUGGGACCCGCCUGGCUUGCGUCUUCAACCUCCCGCUCGCACGCCCGCCGGGAAGAGGGAGGUUCUCUCCUCGACGGCGAUAGCCGGCGCAUCCGGCCACCGCUCGCGACGGCCGACCUACCCACGGGUUCAGGAGCGAGAGGCGCAUCCCGUGGUGUUGUCAGCUGCCGUCGAGGGGCACUAGGGAAGGAGCAGCAAGGUGGGCGGCGGAGCAGGGCUUCGGCCUCCGGCGAACAGGGGGCUCCGGUGGGGAAUGGGGUGGGCAAGGCAACGGGGAGGCUCACCGGACCCUGGGGAAGGCAGUGGUGGAGGUGGAGCGGCGAGAGGGGAGCGGCAUCGCCGGAAUCGAGCGGAGCCCGAGGCGGCGGCCGUGGCAAUGGGGAGGGGUCAGAGAGCUCCUCGAGCUCGAGCUANNNNNNNNNNNNNNNNNNNNNNNNNNNNNNNNNNNNNNNNNNNNNNNNNNNNNNNNNNNNNNNNNNNNNNNNNNNNNNNNNNNNNNNNNNNNNNNNNNNNNNNNNNNNNNNNNNNNNNNNNNNNNNNNNNNNNNNNNNNNNNNNNNNNNNNNNNNNNNNNNNNNNNNNNNNNNNNNNNNNNNNNNNNNNNNNNNNNNNNNNNNNNNNNNNNNNNNNNNNNNNNNNNNNNNNNNNNNNNNNNNNNNNNNNNNNNNNNNNNNNNNNNNNNNNNNNNNNNNNNNNNNNNNNNNNNNNNNNNNNNNNNNNNNNNNNNNNNNNNNNNNNNNNNNNNNNNNNNNNNNNNNGGCUCGAGGGGGAGGGGACGAGGUGACACGCGACAGGCGACGUGUCCGUGCGCCGGCGAUGGCCAUGCGUGGCCAAGGCUCACGGGAAGCAACGGGAAGGCGACGAUGGGGAUGCGGACGUCCCGCAGGAGGUCACGGAGUCAAGCGGGGCUCGAGCACAAGAGGGGGAAACGGACAGGAGCGAGGAAACGACGACGAGCUCACGGACAGGGACGGUUCGGCGACGGCUCGUCGAGGAAGCAAACGAAGGGGGAAAUGGGCCAAGACGCACGGCGACGAUGAGGCUAAGCUGGUUGACAAGGUUGGACGAGCCAGAGCCAGCCGGAUCUGCGCCACUGUGCCCAACAGUGGCGAGACCACCGAUUUGGCCUGCAUAGCUCCGUGGUCACCACCGACAUUGCGCUCUCUAGUCGUCAACUAAGGGCCAAACCUUGUCUACAGCGUAGUCCUUGUAAAGCUCAUUAAGACUGAGUUGAUGGCACAGGCAGAGGUGUAGGGAGCAGAGGGAACCAAGUGCGACAAGUUUGCUGUUGCAAACUUGGCCACAUCUUGGUGAUCAAACCAGAGAGGUUAAGGGCUAAGAUUGAUGUCCUGGAGGUUUAGGCUAGCAAGGACUACGGUCCUGGUAAGUUGGAGGGGAUUUGGACAAAGAUUUAGCAUAGUUGCAGUGCAAUGGCCAAAUCUGGUCCAGAAACCAAAUGAUGAAGGAGCACUCACUAGGAGUGUUGGAUUGGGCUAAAACUUGGCAAAGCUUCCUAAUUUGGUCAUAUAAUGAUGCUGUAAUAAUAUCAUACCAAAUGGACUUGCCAAAUUGGUACUUGUUUCACAAGCAUCACAUCUGACCAGAAACUUUGGAAAAAUCCAGGAAAAUAUUGGCUACAUGAAAUGAGCCAAAAGUUGGUCUAGGUGGGUUAUUUGGAUAGGAGAAGGAUUGGGAAUAUGUUCAGCCAUAAUGGAGCAAGAUAAAAUAUACUUGCUUCACAAACUAAAAAUUUGGACAUAAACCAAGAAUUGCUCCUGUGCUCAUAUAGUUCAAUGAAUUGAACUGAAUUUAGGUGGAGGCUAAUGAUUUGGAAUACUUGAGACGAUGGAAAAGUUUCAUCCCAUUUGGAAACUCUAUGAAGGUACUUCCUUCACAACCAUGCCAUCUGGUCAGAAACUUUGAAAAAUUGCACAGGGAGGUAGGAUGAAUGGAUUGAGCUCAUCUUUGGUAUCCAUGGGUGAUUUAUCAAGGUUAAUCACCCUGCCAAAUCGCAGCUCAAUUUGAAUUAGGAAUAAAGCACUUUCUUUGCAAAAAUUUCAGAGAGGGCAGAAACUUGCAUUGGAUCAUGUGCUCAAAUUAUGAUCUUUGGAACAUGGGUUUGGAUGGAACUAGUGAUUAUAUAGCAAGGACAAGCUCCACAAUUUAUGUGAGAAUUUUCCCUGCUAUAAAAAUAGUAGUUCCUUUAGAAAGUGGCAGAAAUGCAACAUUGGUAUUAAAUAGGAAAAGGCAGUUUUCCAUAUUUAAUUAUGGCCAAUAUCUUUGCCAGAGCUUGGAUUAGUCAUAAAUAUCAACUCCACCAAUUCUCAUGAAUUUAGGAGAUGGCUAGCUAUGCCUUUGGAUUUUAUUCCUCGGAAAGGCAAGAAAAGGAAUAAAUCAUAAUUCAAAAAUAUUGCAUGGGACUUAGCAAUAUUUUUGCAUAUCCAAGGAUUAGUAGGAUAGGAGGGUCUCUAGGAACAGAUGGGAUGAUCAACAGAUCGAGGAAAAUGAUGGCUCCUUUGUAUUCACAAAGGGCACAUUCAAAUUCCAAAUAUUGGAACUAGGGUUUGAAAGGAUUUGAGAUGAUGCAAAAGAGGUCUUGCCCACUGACAAAGACAUGAGCAAGGUUUUGAAAGGUUGGAAAUGGCAAAAAUUUCUCAGAGUCAUCCAGCAAACUCAGGAGAAAAUUUUGAAAAUGAGUGCCAGGAAGGAAUAACAGCUCAAAAAUUGAUAACCCAAUUUUGGGGUUGUUACACGUGGCAGCGGGGUCCUACUGGAAACUAAGGGAUAUUAAGGCCUCCUUUUAAUAGAGUACCGGACCAAAGCAUUAACACAUAGUGAAUACAUGAACUCCUCAAACUACGGUCAUCACCGGGAAUGGUCCCGAUUAUUGUCACUUCGGGGUUGCCGGAUCAUAACACAUAGUAGGUGACUAUAGACUUGCAAGAUAGGAUCAAGAACUCACAUAUAUUCAUGAAAACAUAAUAGGUUCAGAUCUGAAAUCAUGGCACUCGGGCCCUAGUGACAAGCAUUAAGCAUAGCAAAGUCAUAGUAACAUCAAUCUCAGAACAUAAUGGAUACUAGGGAUCAAACCCUAACAAAACUAACUCGAUUACAUGAUAAAUCUCAUCCAACCCAUCACUGUCCAGCAAGCCUACGAUGGUUACUCACGCAUGGCGGUGAGCAUCAUCAAAUUGGUGAUGGAGGAUGGUUGAUGAUGAUGACGGCGACGGAUUCCCCUCUCCGGAGCCCCGAACGGACUCCAGAUCAGCCCUCCCAAGAGAGUUUAGGGCUUGGCGGCGGCUCCGUAUCGUAAAACGCGAUGAAUCCUUCUCUCUGAUUUUUUUCUCCCUGAACGUGAAUAUAUAGAGUUGGAGUUGAGGUCGGUGGAGCUCCAGGGGGCGCACGAGGCAGGGGCGCGCCCAGGGGUAGGCGCGCCUCCCACCCUCGUGGACAGGGUGUCGGGCCCCUGGCCUUGAUUCUUUCGCCAGUAUUUUUUAUUAUUUCCAAAAAUAAUCUUCGUGAAGUUUCAGGUCAUUCCGAUAACUUUUGUUUCUGCACAAAGAUAACACCAUGGCAAUUCUGCUGAAAAUAGCGUCAGCCCGGGUUAGUUCCAUUCAAAUUAUGCAAGUUAGAGUCCAAAACAAGGGCAAAAGUGUUUGGAAAAGUAGAUACGACGGAGACGUAUCAUUGACUUGCAAGAUAGGAUCAAGAACUCACAUAUAUUCAUGAAAACAUAAUAGGUUCAGAUCUGAAAUCAUGGCACUCGGGCCCUAGUGACAAGCAUUAAGCAUAGCAAAGUCAUAGCAACAUCAAUCUCAGAACAUAAUGGAUACUAGGGAUCAAACCCUAACAAAACUAACUCGAUUACAUGAUAAAUCUCAUCCAACCCAUCACCGUCCAGCAAGCCUACGAUGGAAUUACUUACGCACGGCGGUGAGCAUCAUGAAAUUGGUGAUGGAGGAAGGUUGAUGAUGACGACGGCGACGGAUUCCCCUCCCCCGAGCCCCGAACGGACUCCAGAUUAGCCCUCCCGAGAGAGAUUAGGGCUUGGCGGCGGCUCCACAUCGUAAUACAUGAUGAAUCUUUCUCUCUGAUUUUUUUCUCCCCGAACGUGAAUAUAUAGAGUUGGAGUUGAGGUCGGUGGAGCCUCAGGGGUCCCACGAGGCAGGGGCGCGCCCUCCACCCUCAUGGACAUGGUGUGGGCCCCCUAUUGUUGAUUCUUUCGCCAGUAUUUUUUAUUAAUUCCAAAAAUAUUCUUCGUGAAGUUUCAGGUCAUUCCGAGAACUUUUAUUUCUGCACAAAAAUAACACCAUGGCAAUUCUGCUGAAAACAGCGUCAGUCCGGGUUAGUUCCAUUCAAAUCAUGCAAGUUAGAGUCCAAAACAAGGGCAAAAGUGUUUGGAAAAGUGGAUACGAUGGAGACGUAUGAACUCCCCCAAGUUUAAACAUUUUCUUGUCCUCAAGCAAUUCAGUUGACAAACUGAAAGUGAUAAAGAAAAAGUUUUACAAACUCUGUUUGCUCUUGUUGUUGUAAAUAUGUAAAGCCAGCAUUCAAGUUUUCAGCAAAGAUUAUGAACUAACCAUAUUCACAAUAACACUUAGGUCUCAUGUUUACUCAUAUCAAUGGCAUAAUCAACUAGCGAGGAAUAAUAAUAAAUCUCGGAUGACAACACUUUCUCAAAACAAUCAUAAUAUGAUAUAACAAGAUGGUAUCUCGCUAGCCCUUUCUAAGACCGCAAAACAUAAAUGUAGAGCACCUCUGAAGACCAAGGACUGACUAGACAUUGUAAUUCAUGGUAAAAGAGAUCCAGUCAUACUUAUACUCAAUGUAAAUUAAUAGUAAUGCAUGCAAAUGACAGCGGUGCUCUCCAACUGGUGCUUUUUAAUAAGAGGGUGAUGACUCAACAUAAAAGUAAAUAGAUAGGCCCUUCGUAGAGGGAAGCAGGGAUUUGUAGAGGUGCCAGAGCUCGAUUUUUGAAACAGAGAUAAAUAAUAUUUUGAGUGGCAUACUUUCAUUGUCAACAUAACAACCGAGAGAUCUCGAUAUCUUCCAUGCUACACACAUUAUAGGCGGUUCCCAAACAGAAUGGUAAAGUUUAUACCCCCCCACCACCAACAAGCAUCAAUCCAUGGCUUGCCCGAAACAACGGGUGCCCCCAACUAACAACAGUCCUGGGGGAGUUUUGUUUGCAAUUAUUUUGAUUUGGUUUGAGCAUGGGACUGGGCAUCCUGGUUACUGGCCAUUUUCUCGUGAAUGAGGAGCGGAGUCCACUCCUCGUGAGAAUAACCCACCUAGCAUGGAAGAUACGGACAACCCUAGUUGAUACAUGAGCUAUUCGAGCAUACAAAACAGAAUUUCAUUUGAAGGUUUAGAGUUUGGCACAUACAAAUUUACUUGGAACGACAGGUAGAUACCACAUAUAGGAAGGUAUGGUGGACUCAUAUGGAAUAACUUUGGGGUUUAUGGAAGUGGAUGCACAAGCAGUAUUCCCGCUUAGUACAAGUGAAGGCUAGAAAAAGACUGGGAAGCGACCAACUAGAGAGCGACAACCAUCAUGAACAUGCAUUAAAAUUAACCAACACUGAGUGCAAGCAUGAGUAGGAUAUAAUUCACCGUGAACAUAAAUAUCGUGGAGGCUAUGUUGAUUUUGUUUCAACUACAUGCGUGAACAUGUGCCAAGUCAAGCCACUCGAAUCGUUCAAAGGAGGAUACCACCCUAUCAUACCACAUCACAACCAUUUUAAUAGCAUGUUGGCACACAAGGUAAACCAUUAUAAACUCCUAGCUAAUUAAGCAUGGCAUGAGCAACUAUAGUCUCUAAUUGUCAUUGCAAAUAUGUUUCAUUCAUAAUAGGCUGAAUUAGGAACGAUGAACUAAUCAUAUUUAACAAAACAAGAUAGGUCGAGUUCAUACCAGCUUUUUUCAUCUCAAUCAGUCCAUCAUAUAUCGUCAUUAUUGCCUUUCACUUGCACGACCGAACGGUGUGGAUAAUAAUAAUAGUGCAAGCAUUUAAUACAAGGGAGAAGACAAGGUAAUAUUGGCUCUUAGUUAAAUCAGCAAUUAUGCAUAUGAGAUCCACUCAACAUUUUCAUCAAGGUCUUCUCCUCAUGGCCCCCAAAGAAAAGAAAGGAAAUAAAACUAUUUACACGGGAAAGCUCCCAACAAGCAAAAAGAAGAACAAGAAAUCUUUUUGGGUUUUCUUUUAAUUAUUACUACUACAGGCAUGGAAAGUAAGCUAGCUAAAAGCUACAACUAUUUUUUUUGGUUUUAUCUUAAGGUUUUUCAAACACACAAGAAGAAGGCUUAGAACAGAAAGUAAACUAGCAUGGAUAGUACAAUGAAAAAGUAUGAGCACCGACAACUGGCAUGAGUGUGAACAUGAAUGUAAUGUUGGUGAGAAAUACGUACUCCCCCAAGCUUAGGCUUUUGGCCUAAGUUGGUCUAUUACCACGGCUCAAAGUUGCCCUCUCCGGUGUACGGAGGAGUGUCCUCUGGGUGCCACUGGUUGGCAAUCUCCUCUGGAUCCCACUUAUAAACAGACUGUCGAUAAGGGUCAAGUGGUGGCUCAGGCUCAGGCUCUGGAACUUGUGUCAGGCUCCAGUAUGCAUAAAUGGCCUCUAGCAAGAUGAGGUACGUGCCUGAAAGUAAGUUAAACAAAGAGGGUGCAGGAAAGGUAAUAAUCUCACAGUGAGUUUUAUCAAAUAUCAAAUUAUACUUAAGCAUCUUCUUCUUAUUUUUAACAAUAAAUUCAUGUGCUACCAUACACUUAUAAUCUAGAAAAACAGGGGGCAGCAACUUUUCCUCUUUCUCAUAAUGCCUAAUAGGUAUCUCAAAGUGUUCAGCAAGGCGUGAAGCAAAGAUGCCUCCGAAGAUGGGUCCCUUUGUACGGUUCAAACUUAAUCGUUUAGCAAUAAUAGCACCUAAGCUGAAAGUUGUAUCACGAAACAAAGCAUGGCGCAAAAUGACAAGAUCAGGAGCACUAAGAUUUCCACUGUGCCCGCGACCAAUUAAGCAUCUACUAGCAAAUAUCGCAAAGUAACGUAGAACAGGAAAAUGUAUACUAGUAAUUCUUGCAUCGGAAACUUUCCUCGUUUCUCCUACAUCAAUUUUAUCAAUAAAUCCAUCCACAUCACUACGGUAUGGUUCCUCGAUGCUGCCCACAAAGGGUAUCUUGCAGACCCGACAAAAAUCAUGGAGUGACAUCUCCUUAACCUCAUCAUAUAAGUGAAACUCCACUGAAGGUGGUGAUUUCUUAGCAUGGAAAUAAAAAAUUUGCACGAAAAUAUUAGUGAGAAGGAGAUAUUAUUCGCGCUGGUCGUGGAGGAAGUCGGUGAGACCUGCAUUCUCAGCCAAGUAAUAAAAGUCAUCAUAAAUUCCGGCGGCUCUCAAGAACUCAUCACAAGGCCAUUCACACGGCCGAACCUCUGCAGUGCGAGGAAGAUUGUAUUUGGGCUUUUUAUUCUCCUCAUUUUGCUUAUCCUUCGAGCUUCGGCUCGAAGAGCCUCUCAACAAUCUCUUCAACAUUUUCUCUCUCUGAAAAUUUCUGAAUUUUUUUAGUGACUCAAAAUAAAAGUGAACCAAACUCAACAAGAUUGAUAGCAACUACUCCCACAAGUGCCUAGAGGCUAUAUCAUGCAUUAAAACUACUUUGGACCAUAUAAAUUACAUGCAAGCUCAAGAACAGGGUCACCUUAGCAGCAAAAAUUUGCAAUAAUUAAAGCACUAGAACAAAAAUUAAUUGGACCAUUGAAGGAGGCACAUACCGAAGAACAAUCCCCUAAAAUAAUUUUGUGAAUGAAGCUUUGAGCAAGGAGAUCGAAAAUGGCAGCAAGAUGAGCUAGAACACGGGUUUGAGUUACGAGAGGAUUUUUUCUGGAGGAAGACGAAGUGAGUGGGUGCAGGAAUAAGUGGAGGGGGUCCACGUGGGGUCCAUGAGGCAGGGGCGCGCCCUGGACUCUCGUGGCUAGGUGGUGGCCCCCUCUGGUGUGUUCUCAGUGCCAGAUAUUCUUAGAUAUUCUACAAAAAAUCAUAUUACAUUUUCGAGACAUUUGGAGAACUUUUAUUUUCGGGGUAUUUUUAUUGCAAGGAUAAUUCAGAAAACAGACAGAAAAUACUAUUUUUGCUUUAUUUAAUCUAAAUAACAGAAAGUAAAAGGAGGGUACAGAGAGUUGUGCUUUCUAACUUCAUCCACCUCAUGCUCAUCAAAAGGAAUCCACUAACAAGGUUGAUCAAGUCUUGUUAACAAACUCAUUCUAAAUCGCAUGAAACCGGAGAAUUUUCGAAUAGCACUAGGUCACCUCAACGGGGAUAUGCACGUCCCCAACAAUAAGAAUAUCAUGUUUCUUCUUGACAGUAGGAAGAGGAAAUUCAAAACCUCCAAUAAUGAUCGAUGGAGUUUUUCCAAUAGAAUUGAUACUGUGGACUUGAGGUUGUUUCCUCGGAAAGUGUAUCGUAUGCUCAUUACCAUUAACAUGAAAAGUGACAUUGCCUUUGUUGCAAUCAAUAACAGCCCCUGCAGUAUUCAAAAAGGGUCUACCAAGGAUAAUCGACACACUAUCGUCCUCGGGAAUAUCAAGAAUAACAAAGUCCGUUAAAAUAGUAACGUUUGCAACCACAACAGGCACAUCCUCACAAAUACCGACAGGUAUAGCAGUUGAUUUAUCGGCCAUUUGCAAAGAUAUUUCAAUAGGUGUCAACUUAUUCAAAUCAAGUCUACGAUAUAAAGAGAGAGGCAUAACACUAACACCGGCUCCAAGAUCACAUAAAGCAGUUUUAACAUAGUUUCUUUUAAUGGAGCAUCGUAUAGUUGGUACUCCUGGAUCUCCUAGUUUCUUAGGUAUUCCACCUUUAAAAGUAUAAUUGGCAAGCAUGGUGGAAAUUUCAGCUUCCGGUAUAUUUCUUUUAUUUGUAACAAUAUCUUUCAUAUACUUAGUAUAAGGAUUCAUUUUAAGCAUAUCAGUCAAACGCAUACGCAAAAAGAUAGGUCUAAUCAUUUCAGCAAAGUGCUCAAAAUCCUCAUCAUCCUUUUUCUUGGAUGGUUUAGGAGGAAAAGGCAUGGGUUUCUGAACCCAUGGUUCUCUUUCUUUACCGUGCUUCCUAGCAACGAAGUCUCUCUUAUCAUAACGUUGAUUCUUUGAUUGUGGGUUAUCAAGAUCAACAGCAGGUUCAAUCUCUACAUCAUUGUUAUUGCUAGGUUGAGCAUCAACAUGAACAUCAUCAUUAAUAUUAUCACUAGGUUCAUGUUCAUUACCAGAUUGUGUUUCAGCAUCAGAACUAGAAAUAUCAUUGGGAUUCUCAGGUGUGUCAACAACAGGUUCACUAGAAACAUGCAAAGUCCUAUCAUUUUUCUUUUUCUUCUUCUUAGAAGGUUUAGGUGCAUCAACAUUAGUUCUCUGAGAAUCUUGCUCAACUCUCUUAGGGUGGCCCUCAGGAUACAAAGGUUCCUGAGUCAUUUUACCCCCUCUAGUCAUAACUCUAACAGCAUUAUCAUUUUUCUUAUUAUUUAAUUCAUUGAGCAAAUCAUUUUGAGCUUUAAACACUUGUUCUACUUGAGUGGUGACCAUAGAAGCAUGUUUACUAAUAAGUUUAAGUUCACCCUUAACUCUAGACAUAUAAUCACUCAAGUGUUCAAUCAUAUAAGCAUUACGUUUCAAUUGUCUACCAACAUAAACAUUGAAGUUUUCUUGUUUAACAAUAAAAUUAUCAAACUCAUCUAAGCAUUGACUAGCAGACUUAUAACAACAACAAAGCCUUUAGUCCCAAACAAGUUGGGGUAGGCUAGAGGUGAAACCCAUAAGAUCUCGCAACCAACUCAUGGCUCUGGCACAUGGAUAGCAAGCUUCCACGCACCCCUGUCCAUAGCUAGCUCUUUGGUGAUACUCCAAUCCUUCAGGUCUCUCUUAACGGACUCCUCCCAUGUCAAAUUCGGUCUACCCCACCCUCUCUUGACAUUCUCCGCACGCUUUAGCCGUCCGCUAUGCACUGGAGCUUCUGGAGGCCUGCGCUGAAUAUGCCCAAACCAUCUCAGACGAUGUUGGACAAGCUUCUCCUGAAUUGGUGCUACCCCAACUCUAUCUCGUAUAUCAUCAUUCCGGACUCGAUCCUUCCUCGUGUGGCCACACAUCCAUCUCAACAUAUGCAUCUCCACCACACCUAACUGUUGAAUAUGUCACCUUUUAGUCGGCCAACACUCCGCGCCAUACAACAUUGCGGGUCGAACCGCCGUCCUGUAGAACUUGCCUUUUAGCUUUUGUGGCACUCUCUUGUCACAGAGAAUGCCAGAAGCUUGGCGCCACUUCAUCCAUCCGGCUUUGAUUCGAUGGUUCACAUCUUCAUCAAUACCCCCAUCCUCCUGCAACAUUGCCCCAAAUACCGAAAGGUGUCCUUCCAAGGUACCACCCGGCCAUCAAGGCUAACCUCCUCCUCCUCACACCUAGUAGUACUGAAACCGCACAUCAUGUACUCGGUUUUAGUUCUACUAAGCCUAAACCCUUUCGAUUCCAAGGUUUGUCUCCAUAACUCUAACUUCCUAUUUACCCCCGUCCGACUAUCGUCAACUAGCACCACAUCAUCUGCGAAGAGCAUACACCAUGGGAUAUCUCCUUGUAUAUCCCUUGUGACCUCAUCCAUCACCAACGCAAAAAGAUAAGGGCUCAAAGCUGACCCCUGAUGUAGUCCUAUCUUAAUCGGGAAGUCAACGGUGUCGACAUCACUUGUUCGAACACUUGUCACAACAUUAUCGUACAUGUCCUUGAUGAAUAUCACCUUCAUCAAAUCUAUAGAGCGAGUUUACCUUUACUACCUGUGUCGGGUUAUCAAGACCAUGUAUUUCUUCAAUAGGUGGUAAAUUCUUAACAUCUUCAGCUUUAAUACCCUUUUCUUUCAUAGAUUUCUUUGCCUCUUGCAUAUCUUCAGGACUGAGAAUAGAAUACCCCUUUUCUUCGGAGUUGGCUUAGGAGUUGGUUCAGGAAGUGUCCAAUUAUUAUCAUUAUUAAACAUAUUAUUCAAUAGCAAUUUAGCUUGAUCAACAAUUCUUUCCCUGAAAACACAACUAUCCAGGUGGUCUCUGGAAGCAUCGGUUAGUCCAUUAUAAAAGAUAUCAAGUAUUUCAUUUUGCUUGAGAGGAUGAUCAGGCAAAGCAUUAAGUAAUUGGAGAAGCCUCCCCCAAGCUUGUGGGAGACUCUCUUCUUCAAUUUGCACAAAAUUAUAUAUUUCCCUUAAGGCAUCUUGUUUCUUAUGAGCGGGAAAAUAUUUAGCAGAGAAGUAAUAAAUCAUAUCCUGGGGACUACGCACACAACCAGGAGUAAGAGAAUUAAACCAUGUUUUAGCAUCACCCUUUAAUGAGAACGGAAAUAACUUAAGGAUAUAGUAGUAAUGAAUUUUUUGCUCAUGAGUGAAUAGGGUGGCUAUAUCAUUUAAUUUAGUAAGAUGUGCCACAACAGUUUCAGAUUCAUAGCCAUAAAAAGGAUCAGAUUCAACCAAAGUAAUCAACUCAGGAUCGGCAGAGAAAUCAUAAUCCUUAUCAGAAAUACAGAUAGGUGAAGUAGCAAAAGCAGGGUCAUAUUUCAUUCUAGCAUUCAAAGAUUUUUCUUUUAGCUUAGCUAACAGUUUCUUAAGAUCAUAUCUAUACUUGCAAGCAAAAAAGUCUCUAGCAGUUUCUUCAUCCAUAACAUAACCCUCAGGUACAUCAGGCAAUUCAUAUCUAGGGGGAGAAUCUUCAUCAUCACUUUCAUUAAUAUUAUCAGUUUAAAUAAUUUCAUUCUCUCUAACCUAGCAAGUUGUUCAUCAAGAAAUUCACCUAAUGGCACAGUAUUAUCAAGCAUAGAAGUAGUUUCAUCAUAAGUAUCAUGCAAAGCAUAAGUGGCAUCAUCAAUAACAUGUGACAUAUCAGAAUCAAUAGCAGGUGUAGGUGUCGCAAGUUUACUCAUAACAAAAGGUGAAUCAAGUGCAGAGCUAGAUGGCAGAUUUUUACCUCCCCUCGUAGUUGAGGGAUAAAUCUUGGUUUUUUCGUCUUUCAAGUUCCUCAUAGUGAUCAACAGAUAUAAAUCCCAAGUGACUAAAAGAAUAGAGCUAUGCUCCCCGGCAACGACGCCAGAAAAUAGUCUUGAUAACCCACAAGUAUAGGGGAUCGCAAUAGUUUUCGAGGGUAGAGUAUUCAACCCAAAUUUAUUGAUUUGACACAAGGGGAGCCAAAGAAUAUUCUCAAGUAUUAGCAGUUGAGUUGUCAAUUCAACCACACCUGGAAAACUUAAUAUCUGCAGCAAAGUGUUUAGUAGCAAAGUAGUAUGGAGGUAACGGUAACGGUGGCAAAGGUAACAGUAGCAGUUUUGUAGUAAUUGUAACAGUGGCAACGAAAAAGUAACUAAGCAAAGAUUAAUAUGUGAAAAGCUCGUAGGCACUGGAUCAGUGAUGGAUAAUUAUGUCGGAUGCGAUUCCUCAUGCAACAGUUAUACCCUAGGGUGACACAGAACUAGCUCCAGUUCAUCAAUGUAAUGUAGGCAUGUAUUCCGAAUAUAGUCAGACGUGCUUAUGGAAAAGAACUUGCAUGACAUCUUUUGUCCUACCCUCCCGUGGCAGCGGGGUCCUAUUGGAAACUAAGGGAUAUUAAUGUCUCCUUUUAAUAGAGUACGGACCAAACUAUUAACACUUAGUGAAUACAUGAACUCCUCAAACUACGGUCAUCACCGGGAGUGGUCCCGAUUAUUGUCACUUCGGGGUUGCCGGAUCAUAACACAUAGUAGGUGACUAUUGACUUGCAAGAUAGGAUCAAGAACUCACAUAUAUUCAUGAAAACAUAAUCGGUUCAGAUCUGAAAUCAUGGCACUCGGGCCCUAGUGACAAGCAUUAAGCAUAGCAAAGUCAUAGCAACAUCAAUCUCAGAACAUAAUGGAUACUAGGGAUCAAACCCUAACGAAACUAACUCGAUUACAUGAUAAAUCUCAUCUAACCCAUCACCGUCCAGCAAGCCUACGAUGGAAUUACUCACGCACGGCGGUGAGCAUCAUGAAAUUGGUGAUGGAGGAAGGUUGAUGAUGACGACGGCGACGGAUUCCCCUCUCCGAAGCCCAGAACGGACUCCAGAUCAGCCCUCCCGAGAGAGAUUAGGGCUUGGCGGCGGCUCCGUAUCGUAAAACGCGAUGAAUCUUUCUCUCUGAUUUUUUUCUCCCCGAACGUGAAUAUAUAGAGUUGGAGUUGAGGUUGGUGGAGCCUUAUGGGGCCCACAAGGCAGGGGGCGCGCCCCAGGGGGGUGGGCACGCCCUCCACCCUCAUGGACAGGGUGUGGGCCCCCUGGUGUUGAUUCUUUCGCCAGUAUUUUUUAUUAAUUACAAAAAUAUUCUCCGUGAAGUUUCAGGUCAUUUCGAGAACUUUUAUUUCUGCACAAAAAUAACACCAUAGCAGUUCUGCUGAAAACAGUGUCAAUCCGGGUUAGUUCCAUUCAAAUCAUGCAAGUUAGAGUCUAAAAUAAGGGCAAAAGUAUUUGGAAAAGUAGAUACGAUGGAGACGUAUCACCGGCUUGUACGUCUCCUUGGCCUUGGCGAGGGUGCGCCGGACAUCCGCCCACCUCUCGCACUUCUCAAUCCGUUUGAAGACAUGGAGGUACUAGAAAUCUUGGUCGCUGCUGUCCUGGCGAUACAUGGCGAACAUCCGCAGCAGCUGCGCCGAGGAACAAACAGUUGGUGGGCGCGCACGGCAAAGAAAAGUGGGAUACCGGCGUGCCAUACCUGAUCCUUCAUGUUGGCGCCGCUCUCCAGGCGAGCCGCGAUCUCCUCGAUGAUCCUAUGCCAUUUGUUGCACGCCGUUUGGAUGAGCCCUCAAUGGUUCGCCAUUGCCUUCGACCCGCGCUGCAUGUAGAUGCCUUUGAAGUAGGGGUCGACGAGCUUGCGCUCGUCAAACUCGGCCUUAAUGCGCUCCCAAUACGUGUCGAUGCUCUGGUUCGUGCCAGUGAUCGGGUCGAGGCAAAUGACUUUCCACGCUUCGGCGAGACACUCCUGCUCCUUGGACGCCCACUUGAUGCGCGGCUCGCCGGUCCUGGCCGCCCCUUCUUCUUCUUCCGUUUCCUCACCGGAGCAGGAGUCGGCUCCUCCUCCUCCUCUGGCUCCUCCUCACCGUAGUUAAGCUCGCCAUCCAUGUCGCCGUUGAGGUCCAUUGUGUCGUCCUGGGCAGUGAACCCGGGGGACGCGGCAGCGGCGGCGAGCCGGUCGUGAUGAUGUCGUCCAUGUCGGCCUCGGUCGCGUCUGUGUCGCCGAUAUGCAACGUGGAGGCUUGUGAGAAGGGAAGCGUGCCACGGCGGAGAGGGGGGCGUCGGGGAGGAUGCGUAGGCCGGCGGUGAGUAGGUGUACGGAGGGUACUGCACGCCGGCGAAGGCGGGCGAGGGCGUGCGCUGACCAUGGGGGAAGGUGAUGUUGGGGUUGAACCCGCCGUGCGCGUCACCGUUGGCGUAGCCCGGCGACGGCGUGCAGCCCCAGGGUUGCGGCGACGACGAGAAGCCGGCCGGAGAACCGACGCUUUGCUGGCUCCAGGGCGCGUACGGGGCGUGGCCGCCGGGUGGAUUCAUCAUCCCCGCGCGAGCCGCCUCGGCUUUUUGGGCCGAGCGCUCCGCCUGCUCCGCCGCCGCCGCAGCCGCGAGCGCCAUGCUAUCCCGGGCCUUCUUGGCGUUGGCCCUGUUCCGCCGGUCGGUGGUGACAGCCUCCCGGCGCUGAACUUCUGCCCUCCAGUCGGCGUUGGACAUGCCCGGGGGCUUGGACGGCGGCGUCCUCGGCUUCCUCUGCUUCGGCUGGGCGACGGCGACAGUCGCAUCCGUCGCGGCGCGGGGCACCACGUACUUCUUCAGCGGCAUGGCGGCCGGCUGGGAGGGGAGGAGGAGGAGAUUGGCGGGAGGAAUGGAGAAUGAGAGGGAAGCCAAGGGGGAAAGCGGGAAGAAACGGCGGGAAAAGGCCCUCCUCUAGCCGAUGGAGCGGCCCCACGUCCAUUUUCGCUUGUGCCGGCGCCCCAGCGUGCCGGGUUCAGCUCAGGUGCGCCGGCUGUUAUUUCGGCCCAAACCGACGCUAAAUGAGAUCGUGGGAGCGCGACUGGGCCGAUUUUCGCCGGCCGGCGCUAAAAAAUCGCCUGGGGAAGAGACGUGUUGGGGACGCGGCUGGAGAUGCUCUAAUGGGUUCGUCAACCGGGACACGUUGAGCCUCAAAGCAAAUGUCGGUCAACCUAUCAAUACCACAUUGUCGACAUACGUGACAAACCAUGCAUGGAAGUGAGAUGCCUACCGUGGAUUUCCUGAUCCUCCGAAGGUCGAGAUACAAUUGUAUUUUUGUAAAGGGAUAAGUAUAUUUUUCGUCCUCGAACUCUGACGAUAGUAUAGAAAUCGUCUCUCAACUCCGAAACCACUAAAACGCAGUCUCUCUACUAUUUAAACCGGAUACUUUUCGUCCCUCACGACGUUUAAAGUGGUUUUGGUACGACGUGUACCCAGUUUUGACUAAAAUCAUCCACGUGGCCUGGUUUUGACUGAAAAUGUGACCGUAAAUGUGCAGUCUAGUUCAUCAUUUACAGCAAAUGUGCAGUAAUAUUUCAGAUGUCUGCUUCAAGUUCAAAUGUGACAGUAAAUGUGCAGUCUAGUUGAUCAUUUACAGUCAAUGUUACAUCUGGUGCUGCAAGUUUUCAAGUUGGAGGAAAUAAAAGAGCAAAGAAAGUCCCAGCAAAACUACUGGACUAGUGUACUUGUACUCAUGUUUGUGGUUAUCCGUGGUUAUGUCAGAAUUCAUGUUUGUGGUUGCUCGUAGUAUUUCUCACUUACUUUGUCAGAAUUUGAGAAUUCCCUUGUGGUUUGCUUGUAAGACUAAUCAGUACUAUGUUUGUGGUUGUCAGAUUAUGUUUGUCAUGCAAUCUGUUCGGUUCAGUACUCUAUCCAAUCAUCUAUUAACAAGUGAACAAUUCAAUGCAUUCAAUUUACACAAUUGUCUAAAAUCGUAUGAACAAUCUGCUAUGAAUCCCAUUCAGUUUAUAAAAUGGUCUGGAACUGAAACCAUCUAUUUAGCAUACAAUUUGCCGUUACCGAACUGGACAAAUAUGCGACUGAAAUGCUCUGAGCAAACCCAAUUUUUCAUAAAUAACAUAGGUCAGAUGACAUGCAGGUCAAAACCAGGCCACGUGGACGGUUUUAGUCAAAACCGGGUUCACGUCAUACCAAAACCACUUUAAGCGUCGUGAGGGACGAAAAGUAUCCAGUUUAAAUAGUAGAGGGACUGAGUUUUAGUGGUUUCAGAGUUGAGGGACGAUUUCUAUACUAUCGCCAGAGUUCGAGGGCGAAAAAUAUACUUAUCCCUUAUGUAGGAAGCAAACAAUAAUUUAACGAAAUAUGUAUGUGGCAACGGUGUGGCAGAUUGCAAAACUGCUACACCAUCUCAUCAACGUCCGCGGACACAAUCCCGCCUGGCAGCCCCGAUCACCGUCCCGCUUCUCCCGCGCGCACGAUCGUGCAAUCCUUUUUUUCCUCUUCGGGCAAAAAAAUUAGCGCUAAGUGGGUUCAAUCCCCCGCCUGGCAGCCCCGAUCGCACCGUUCCGCUUCUCCCGCGCGAGCGAUCAUGUAAUCCUUUUAUUCCUCUUCGGGCGAAAAAAUUAGCGCUAAGUGGGUUCGAUCCCUCAACCAACAGGUUCGCAUGUAGGCUGAGUACCACUGGCAUAAUUUCAUUUGCAUGCGCACAAGCAAAUUAGCUAAGUAUUCAGGCUGUCAAAGUUUAGAUGGAUCCAAACCAAGAUUGAUCCAUCUCGUGCUCGCAUAAAUAGAAAAGCUUGGGCACUCGCUAAAUUAACCGACACUUCUAUAAAUAAACAACUGACUAGUGUUCAAAAUUUGCUGCUACUAUAUAUAUCGGCAUCUCAAUUUCCGUACAUCUCAACUUCUGCACUUCUAUAUUUGUUUUAGCUGAUGAUAGUACCUUUGGCCUGAAUGAAAAAAUUGUUGAACCAUUCUCCUGGUAACCUCUGUGUAAAUAGCAUGUUAAUUUAUGCACCGCAGGCCUGAUAACAUAUGAACACACACCAUGGUAACUUUGACUGGGAAAAAAGUUGUUGAAUUUUACCAUGGUAACUUCUAUGUUCAUAACAUGGAAACUUAAGCUCUGCAGAUCUGACAACUCACAUACAAGCACAGUGGUGACUUUUGACCUAAGGAAAAGAGUUGGUGAAACACUCUCUUGUAAUUUUUGUGUAAAAUUUUUGGUAAUACACGCACCACGGUGUUGGUCAAUUACGUACAAACACCAUGGUAAACUUUGACCGGAGAAAAAAUUGUUAAAAACAUACCCCAGUAAUUUCUACGUAAAUAGCAUGAUAAUAUAUGCGUUGCAAACCUAAUAACUUAGAUACAAACACCACAGUAUCUUUUACCUAGGGAAGCCAACUUACAAGCAUGCCUGCACCUCCGCGCCCCUCUUGACCACCUAGCUGGCAUCACCACCGCCGGCGUGCGACAACAACAUUGGCAGGAGCAGAAAGAGACUUCACUGAAAGGUUACAUUGCCUAGUAGGCUCGCGAAAUGUUCGAUGAAGUGCGUGUCUGGUUCUUCCUGGUGUGGACAGUAGUUGUGGUCAAAAAUGACAUGUAACUUUUGAUCAAAUAAGAUUUUUAAAGCAGCAUAGGCUUGAUAAUUUGCAUAUAAACAUCAUGAUACCUUUUUGACUCAAGGUAAACAAAUAUUGGAAAAUAUACCUACGAUAAUUUUUGUGUAAUAGCAUGGUAAUAUACGCAUUGCAGACUUGAUAACUUACGUCCAAAACAUCACGAUGAUUUUUUACCUGGGAAAAAAUACCGUUGAAACAAUACUCUGGUAAUUUUUAGGUAAAAAACAUGGUUUUUAAGUAACUCAAACAUGAUAACUUACAAACAAAAUCAUGUUGAUUUUUUGAACUGAGACUUUUUUGUUUGAAACAUGUCCGGUAAUUUUGUAUGUAAAUAACAUGGUGAUAUAAACUCCAAUAACCGAUAACUUAGAUACAAACAUGGUAACUUUUUGACCCAGGAAACUUUUGUUGAAAAACACAUCGUCGCUAGCUUAUGUGUAAAUAGUAUGCUAAUAUACCUCCCACGUACUCGAUGAUUUACGAACAAAACACCGCAGUAACAUUAAUCAAGGGAUAUAAAGCUAUUCAAAAAUAUACUCGCGAUAACUUUUGUGAAAAUAGCAUGCUAAUAUAUAAACCGUUCACCUGAUAACUUGCGUAUAAACAACGCGGUAAAUUUGACUAAGGGGGAACACCUGAGACGAACCGUUCACCUGGUAAAUUUUUUGUAAAUAGCAUGGUCACAUAAGAAUUCCAUACUGAUAACUUAAGUACAAACACCGUCGUGACAUAUUUGACCAUGGAGGAAAAAGUUGCUGAAAAAUAUAGCAUGGUAACUUCUAUGUAAAUAGCAUGGUAAUAUAAGAAUUCCAUACCUGAUAGCUUAAGUACAAACACCGCGGUAAUAUUUUUGACCAAGGAGGAAAAAGUUGCUGAAAAGUAUAACACGGUAAUUUCGAUGUAAAUAACAUGGCAAUAUAAGAAUUUCAUACCUGAUAACUUAAGUACAAACACCGCGGUAACAUUUUUUACCAAGGAGGAAAUUGCUGAAAAAUAUAGCACGUUAGCUUAAGUACAAACAGCACGGUAACAUUUUUUAACAAGGAGAAAAAAGUUCCGGGAAAAUAUAGCACGGUCAAUGUAAAUAGCAUGGUAAUACACGAACGUCAUACUUGAUAAAUUAAGUCCAAACACCGCGAUAACAUUUGACCAAGAGAGGAAAAUUUGUUGAAAUACAUACUCGACAACUACUAUGUAAACGGUAUGGUAGUAUGCAAACCUCAUAUCAGAUAAGUUAAGUACAAACACUGUGAUGAUUUGCAUCUGAAAAGGGAGGGAAGGGGACGCCCGAGUUUGUGAACCAUCUGAACUGGUGUAAAACGUCCAGAAAAAAGGUUCCAAAUCCCAGACAAGUGAGUUCAGGAAGGUACAAGUAGUGUGUAAGUUGAAAGAAACCAAUAACAUGGCCUAGCCGAGUUGUUCGUUGUUGCUAAAUUAGUUGUGGUAGGUUGUCGGUUCGAUUACUCUCCCAUCGCAUUUUUUCGCGUUUUUUCGAACUGCACACGUGUGUGCGCAGAAUCGGGACAGGCCCGCCCCCAGCGGGGGAAUCCGGGUGGCCCAUAAAAUCAGGAGAAGAGAGGGGUUCGUGCGGGGGGAUCGGGAUGGCCCAGAAAAUCAGGAGAAAAAGGGAUGGGUUCGUGCGGGGGGAUCGGGAUGGCCCAGAAAAUCAGGAGAAGAAGGGAUGGGUUUCGUGCGGCACGAGGGGGUGUGGUGGAUUUGCAAUCUGGCACACAGUUGCCAGUUAUCACAGUCCAUAAUUUAAUAGGUAAAUCACAACUGCAAUGCAUAUAUUAUGAUUUAAGAUCUGGGUUGUNNNNNNNNNNNNNNNNNNNNNNNNNNNNNNNNNNNNNNNNNNNNNNNNNNNNNNNNNNNNNNNNNNNNNNNNNNNNNNNNNNNNNNNNNNNNNNNNNNNNNNNNNNNNNNNNNNNNNNNNNNNNNNNNNNNNNNNNNNNNNNNNNNNNNNNNNNNNNNNNNNNNNNNNNNNNNNNNNNNNNNNNNNNNNNNNNNNNNNNNNNNNNNNNNNNNNNNNNNNNNNNNNNNNNNNNNNNNNNNNNNNNNNNNNNNNNNNNNNNNNNNNNNNNNNNNNNNNNNNNNNNNNNNNNNNNNNNNNNNNNNNNNNNNNNNNNNNNNNNNNNNNNNNNNNNNNNNNNNNNNNNNNNNNNNNNNNNNNNNNNNNUUCUUUUAGGGUGGCAUAAUUAGAACAAAGUAUUCUCAUUAGCCCCUAUAAACAUGUAUACUUUGCUUCUGGCCCCCCUGACAUUGCAGUCAAGCUCCGCCAGUGUAACUAGCAUCACUAGAAAGUGAAGCCUGACCCACGAAACUUCUCCUUGCAUAUCGCAUCCAGACGUUUAGCCAUCUCAGGUGUCAAGUGGUUCACCCAGUCUCCCACCACCCCAUUCCUGAAAUAGGAGUCAUGCGAGAACUUGAAGAACACUCCUUGGGAGCCUUUCUUGUUCGCCUCUAAAUUUUUCAGAUUCUCCAAGCUGCAGAGCUGAACAAUCUCUGCAACGACACCGGCCUCCUCCUCUGUGUCAGAGAAUGGCCUCCCAAGGAACUGAGCUAGCUUCCUGACUUUGUCGAGCGGAUCCUGAAGCAUCUGCUCGUAGGUCAGGAAAAGCACUCUGCUUGGCUCUGCAUUGCUUGCCCUCCAGUAUCCGAGGAUGUGAUCCCAAAAUGGCCCGCCGUUACUUGUGCCCUCACAGACAGUCUCGAACAUCUCUUGGAGCGAUAUGUCAGGUUGAGCACGAUUGACGAAGUGCCACAACGAUACCACCAUGUCCUUUGGAUCCCUGCCAACGAGCCUACGAUGUCAUCUACUUUUUUAAGGAAAAACGUUAUCAUGGCUUACUUUAUUUCAAGGUUUAGCAAGGGCUUGCAUCAUUCACAAGGAGAGCUGGAAUAAAAUCUGUUAUGAUUUAAGAUCUGGAUUGUAUUCUUUUAUGUCCUUUAUGUUAUACUAUAUCCCACUAAAUUAGAUAAUUAAUACAACAACACUACCUGCAAAUGUAGACGAUUUUGCAGUGGGGUCCUCCGGAGAUGGACGGCGGCAGCACCGACAGCGGCAUGUGCGUGCACAUGAGCCUCGGCGAGGGCAGCGCGUCCAGCACAGCGUCGCGGCCGACGGCGAAGAGCCUGUCCACGAGAGGCACGCAGUCGUGUGGGUUGAGGCGGCGGAGCGGGUGGGCGGGGCUAGCCGGCGGGCACGCGGCGCGGGCCAUCGUGGCGAACGUCAAGGCCUUGAGCCACGUGGUGCCGCUCUUGGGAACGCUCGCAAGAACCACGUCGCCGGGGCGCGCCGCGAAGCUGCGCUGCAUGGCCAUGAUGCCUGGUGCCCACUCCUCUCGCACCCACACGCCCUGGUAGCAGCGCCGCUUCAGCUUGCUGUUGCUAGCAUGGUUCUGGUUCGUCGGGAGGGACGCGACGGCGGCGGGGAGGGUGCACUGGGAUGGUGCCGUCGUCGGCGUCCUUGAACGCCACGGGGCCAUGGAGGAGACUAGACGUUUCGCUACCAAGCAUCUCAUCUGCUGAAUGAGGUGAUGGAAGGGUAGCUAGUGAUCACAUAUACAUAUAUGCCGCUGGGUUAAGGGCAUCUUCCAUGCACAUACGUCUGAACCACACUGCUUGGGCGUGUUCUGUCAUUCAACACAGAUUUGUAUUGAUUCAUUUGGUGGUCUAGACACAUUUUUUUCUGCAAACCAAAGAUAAAGUGGAGGGCUAUACGGGCGUCCAUUCGCUACCACGUCCGUUUCUGACUGCCCUGGCCCACCCAAACUCCCUCCUUCGCUCGCGCGCGCUUCCUGCCGCCGCUUCAGAGCGUCAGUGCCGCAUUCAUGCUCGACUAGAGCGGACGCGGCCUCUCACUUCUACCGGCAUUGAAGCGGCACGCUGGUUGAGAGAGCGUCGCUCGCGCUGCUUCCCAGUGCAUGCGACUGCUCCGCGUUUAAACGACACCACGGUUGUAUGUCACCCUACAUUAAUGAAACGCGGUUUGCCGAGGAACCUACUCCGACGCCACUCGUUCGUCUGUCUGCCAUGCACCAUUGCCAUCCGCCCGCUAUAUAAACUCUAGCCCUGACCAUAGCCGCAGUCAUCAUCCUCCGGUCCCUUUCUCCUCUCCGCACCAGUCCACCAUGGCCUCCUCGCGCUUCAAAGCCCUCUAGGACAGACUCUCGUCGGAGCAGAAGAAGAAGAUGGCCGUCAUUGCUGCCGGCUGGCAGGUCGGCCAGCAGACGAAGGUCGUCGCCGCUGCAAUGGAGGACGAUCUGGCGCCACCCACCUCGCCGGUGCAUGUCGGCCUCACCAUCUGCGAGGCCCGUGCGCACUACACGGACAUGCUGCGGGAGGAGCAGGAGGCCAAGUUUCAACACGCGCAGGCCGACCAGGCCUACAACCUCGGCCUCCUCUAGGAGCACCGGCAGGCGGAGGUGCAACUUGCCACUGGCAUGGCCAUCGUGUCGGGUGUGGACGUGGCAGAGCAUGAGGCGUUGGUCGACUCCUACCGCUUCAUCUGCAACAUCCGCCGCGACCGCUGGCGGUACCGCCUCCAUCAGGCGGAAUUGGAGGCCGCCUGCAGGGAGUUUUGCCGAAGCGGCGGAUGAGGUGUGGGGCAAGAGCGACAACGAGAAGGACAUCACAACUCCGCCCGGCCGCGCCCGCCACGGCCAUGAAGCUAGCAUGUCUGCAGGCGCUGCCGGCAGCAAGGAAGAGUAUUGCAUGGUAGGUCGCCGCCACUCGGGUCCCAAGAGGGCCACCAUUCCUCCCCUCCCGUUGAAGCCAAACUUGAUGGACCGAACAUCCUCGGCCUAUUAGCCGCUUGGCGUCGAUGUGGAGGUGGACAACUUCACUUCCCAGGGCUCUGGAGGCCGAGGUUACGGAGGUGGAGCUGGAGAGCGCCUAGGCCUAGGCGGAACUGAAGAAGGCGAAGGCAAGAGCCAGAGCUUCAGUUCUCGGGGCUCAUGGCCAGACUUGGGAAACGGUUGUCGGUGAUCAUUUAGGUUAGGUUUAGAGUAGGGUUUAGUAUGGUUUAUAUUUAAAAUGUAAUGAAUCUUCUCUGGUUUAUAUGAAAAAUGUUCGAAAUGUAAUGAAUGUCGUCCGGUUUGUAUGAAAUCCGCCGUGUUUGUAUGAAUUACGUUUCGUCCGGUCAGUUCAAAUAAUGGUUAAAAUGUAUGCAUGAUGUGUUGGAUGGCCGGCUCCCGCAUUCGUGUCCGCAUACUAAUCCCCUACUCACGGACAAAUACCGAAACAAAUUUACGGGUCAGCGUUGGAGAUGCCCUGGUACAUGCAUUUUCAGCUUCCGAAGAAAACCUGCAUUUUCCUCGACAGCAAGCAUCUUUUCUUUCUUCUUUCCCGUGGAGCAAGCAUCUGAUCCUAUGGAAUCUUUUCUUCCCAUACGGAUGCUUGUGGUGUAUAUUAACUAGGGUUUUUUUUUUGUCCAACAAGGAUCUUCUUUUUGGCCCAUAUAUGGAUGUCGUCCUGGUCAUAAUUCGUGUCUCUAGCAUGUGUAGCUUUAAAAAAUUUAAAUUUUUGAACAGAAAACUGUUUCAAAUGUCUCCCACAUGUCAAGUUUUCAAACAGCUUUCAAAAGUUUUGAAUACACACUAUUCCAGACUAGCUUAACUCGAGAGAAACUAGAACUUUAAACAUCUUACAAUAGUGUGUGUGGGGUGAGGUGGGGGUGGGGUUUAAUAAAGAAAAUUGCAACUAAAAGAAACUCUACAAGAGUCGUUAUAUGUUGCAUAUGGAGCGCAAAGUCACCAUAUCUCAGCCUUCAUAAUAUAUUUUAUGUUUUCUCAUUCAGAAACUUUGAUUGACUCCAAAACCAGACGUGUUAUCACUUCAUUUCAAAAGCAAUCAUGCAAAAAAUAAUUUAACAAGUUGCUUGAACAAAUGCAUUUAACCGGCGACACAUGCAAAUCACAUGUUGCUGGCAUGUGGACUGUACCUUCUCUGGCAUGUGCACUGUCCUCUGCUCUCUCGUGUGUGUUGUCCCCUCUCCGGCGUGCACCUUCCCUUGCCCCGGCAGGCCCUGGAAUGUAUGAUCACCAUUCAUCUGUCAUCUCAAAUUCUUGCGCCACUGGAUCUAUGGUAUUCAAAUCCAACAUGAUGAAUCAUUUAUCGUCGGCUAUCCCUUCAUGUGUCGUUUAACGCCCCUCGGUUUCGAGCCUACAUGCACCCAUCAGUAGCUCCACCGACCGGAAUACUGAGAGAGCUCCCGCUUUCAUGACAUCGUCUGCUCUCUUGCAUAGUGAUGGUGUCCCAGUCCAAGGGUAUUUCACCACGUCGGUUCCUGAUCUGGUGGGUCGGGCUAAGGACCCCUAGGUCGGUUCCAUCCUGGGCCAUUUUGGGCAACCCAUGACACGCUACGAAGAAGAUUAUGGAAGCCUUGACGUUCAAGACAAGUAGUCAAUAUCCGUAGAGUACCCCGUCCACCGACGCAGCCGAUUAGGACUCUUGUAAUCCUAGGACCCCGGUGAUGGUGUCACGGAUUAGGGGGCACUCACCAUGGCGCCUCCCAUCUAGAUGUCGACAUGGCUUCAGAAUGCCUGUGACACAUCUGGUCUUGACAUCUCUGUAUGAGCAGGCUAGUUACUGAUUUGGAAGAUUAGUGCAUGGCUAGGACUCUUGUAAUCCUAGGACCCCGGUGAUAGUGUCAUGAAUUAGGGGGGCACUCACCACGGCGCCUCCCAUCUAGAUGUCAACAUGGCUUCAGAAUGCGGGUGACACAUUUGGUCUUGACAUCUCUGUAUGAACAGGCUAGUUACUGGUUUGAUAGAUUAGUGCAUGGCUAGCCUUAGACAGCCGUGGGCCUGCCUCGCACACUGAUGAAUGAUGAAUGGCAAAAACGAAGGUUUCUCCUUAAAAACAGAUAAUUUAAGGUGUCUCGCUCAAAAACGGCUAAUUUAUUUACCAAAAAUUCCGUCGCCGGGACUUGAACCCAGAUCUCUUGGGUGAGAGCCGAGUAUCCUAACCACCUAGACUACAACGGAUUUUGCUAUGAUUUGGAAUUUUGUUUUGAAGAACCGCAACAUUAGGUCUGCGCUGAAAACCGCAGAAAAUCCUGCCAGGCAAACCUAAGUAUACUUCGGGUCCGCCAAAUGACGAAUUUGUGUGCAUGAGCAGAAAUGCGAACUGAAAUAUGAUGGUUCAUCAGCUGAAUCAGGUUCAGGAGCAUAUCAAGUUAUUGAAAAUGCAUGUCAAAGAGUUGAGACAAAGGACACGCAACUCGCCACAGAUGAUACCAAGCAUGCAAGGAAAAAGAGAUGCUGAAUCUAUUUGCCAGCAAAACUGGAGUACAUUCGGGGCCCAGGAGUGACUAAAUAAUAGACGUGCGCAUAAUAAGGAAUUCAACAACAACAAAGCCUAUAGUCUCAAACAAUUUGGGUACACUAGAGGUGAAACCCAUAAUAUAUCGCGAUCAACUCAAGGUUCUGGCACAUGGAUAGCAAGCUUCCACGCGCCCUUGUCCAUGGCUAGUUCUUUGGUGAUACUCCAAUCCUUCAGAUCUGUCCAACAAAUAAGGAAUUCAUGUGCCUUUAAUUGAAACAUCAAACUUGUUGUCGAUAAGAUUAUCAUGCAAGGCAUGAUCAUAUCAAGUUGCAACAAUGGAUGUCAAAGGGUUGAGAGUUGAGAAUGUUGCCAACAACCACAGCACACUCUCCUUCAGAUGAAUGCAAGGAAAAAUACUCCCUCCAUCCCGAAAUACUUGUCGGAGAAAUGAAUGAAUUUAGACGUAUUCUAGUUAUAGAUACAUCCAAUUUUAACCAUUUCUUCGACAAGUAUUUCAGGACGGAGGGAGUAUAUAUCAACCAAAUAUUCAUUAGCUUGUCCAAAAGAGACGAGAAACAGCAUGCCAAUUACAUAUGAGACAUUAGAAAGAAGUCCAAUUCAUAAUUUGGAUAGUAUUGAACUGGUUCCAGAGCGACCAGACAUAGCAAUCACUUCACUGUGGAACAGAUUGGUACCAUAGUGCUCAAAGGGAGUGAGUAACACCCAGCAAGAGAGUUUUACAAUAUUAUUGUGCCAAAAGAAAAUGCCAAAACAUGGAGCUUUAUAAGGUGCCUAAUUUCACUUAAAAGAUCAUGGGAAAUCUGGGCUUCAAUGUCUUCAC